Molecule: ribosomal RNA, 119 nt
Filed under: Pteropus alecto (black flying fox)
Lineage: Eukaryota; Metazoa; Chordata; Mammalia; Chiroptera; Pteropodidae
Source: RNAcentral
UUCUAUGGCCAUGCUACCCUAAACAAGCCCGAUCCCGUCUGAUCUCGGAAGUUAAGCAAGGUCAGGCUUGGUUAGUACUUGGAUUGGAGACCACCUAGGAAAACCAGGUGCUAUAGGCG